UACGUAUGUCGCGAGCGUUAUCCGGAAUUAUUGGGCAUAAAGGGCAUCUAGGCGGCCUUACAAGUCAGGGGUGAAAACCUGCGGCUCAACCGCAGGCCUGCCUUUGAAACUGUUAGGCUGGAGUACCGGAGAGGUGGACGGAACUGCACGAGUAGAGGUGAAAUUCGUAGAUAUGUGCAGGAAUGCCGAUGAUGAAGAUAGUUCACUGGACGGUAACUGACGCUGAAGUGCGAAAGCCGGGGGAGCGAACAGG
RNAcentral lists this ribosomal RNA (253 nucleotides) under uncultured bacterium. RNAcentral's name for it is "partial 16S ribosomal RNA". It matches the Rfam family "Bacterial small subunit ribosomal RNA", at positions 524 to 776 of the family's 1533-position model. The record is from RNAcentral.